RNAcentral lists this ribosomal RNA (373 nucleotides) under uncultured organism. RNAcentral's name for it is "bacterial SSU rRNA". It matches the Rfam family "Bacterial small subunit ribosomal RNA", at positions 526 to 896 of the family's 1533-position model. The record is from RNAcentral.
CAGAGGUCCCGAGCGUUGUUCGGAUUCGACUGGGCGUAAAAGGGUGCGUAGGUGGUGAGGUAAGUCGGAUGUGAAAUCUCCGGGCUCAACCCGGAAAUGGCAUUGGAAACUACCUUGCUGGAGGAUUUGAGGGGGAUUGGAAUACUUGGUGUAGCAGUGAAAUGCGUAGAUAUCAAGUGGAACACCAGUGGCGAAGGCGAAUCCCUGGAAAAUACCUGACACUGAGGCACGAAAGCUAGGGGAGCAAACAGGAUUAGAUACCCUGGUAGUCCUAGCCCUAAACGGUGCUUGCUUGCUGUAAGAGGAAUCGACCCCUCUUGUGGCGGAGCUAACGCGUUAAGCAAGCCGCCUGGGAAGUACGGUCGCAAGAUUA